Molecule: non-coding RNA, 24 nt
Filed under: Arabidopsis thaliana (thale cress)
Lineage: Eukaryota; Viridiplantae; Streptophyta; Magnoliopsida; Brassicales; Brassicaceae
Source: RNAcentral
AAGGGUUUCUUGGGGUCAGAUUGC